UGGGGAAUCUUGCACAAUGGGGGCAACCCUGAUGCAGCGACGCCGCGUGAGCGAUGAAGCCCUUCGGGGUGUAAAGCUCUUUCGGCAGGGAAGAUGAUGACGGUACCUGCAGAAGCAGCUGCGGCUAACUACGUGCCAGCAGCCGCGGUAAUACGUAGGCAGCAAGCGUUGUUCGGAGUUACUGGGCGUAAAGGGUGUGUAGGCGGUUCCCUAAGUUUGGUGUGAAAUCUCCCGGCUCAACUGGGAGGGUGCGCCGAAAACUGGGGGGCUAGAGUACUGGAUGGGAGAGUGGAAUUCCUGGUGUAGCGGUGAAAUGCGUAGAUAUCAGGAGGAACACCUGUGGUGUAGACGGCUCUCUGGACAGUAACUGACGCUGAGACACGAAAGCGUGGGUAGCAAACAGGAUUAGAUACCCUGGUAGUCCACGCCCUAAACGAUGCAUAUUUGGUGUGGGUCAUUCAUUUGAUCCGUGCCGGAGCUAACG
Molecule: ribosomal RNA, 484 nt
Filed under: uncultured Acidobacteriota bacterium
Lineage: Bacteria; Pseudomonadati; Acidobacteriota
Description: bacterial SSU rRNA
Rfam family: Bacterial small subunit ribosomal RNA
Source: RNAcentral